This 253-nucleotide ribosomal RNA is filed under the name uncultured bacterium. RNAcentral's name for it is "partial 16S ribosomal RNA". It matches the Rfam family "Bacterial small subunit ribosomal RNA", at positions 524 to 776 of the family's 1533-position model. The record is from RNAcentral.
GACAGAGGUCUCAAGCGUUAGGCGGAAUCACUGGGCUUAAAGCGUGUGUAGGCGGAUCGUUAAGUGCUUUGUGAAAUCCCACGGCUUAACCGUGGAACUGCUUGGCAUACUGGCGGUCUUGAGCCAUCUAGGGGUCGCUGGAACAAACGGUGGAGCGGUGAAAUGCGUAGAUAUCGUUUGGAACGCCAAUGGUGAAAACAGGCGACUGGGGAUGUGCUGACGCUGAGACACGAAAGCCAGGGGAGCAAACGGG